AUGGAGGACAUUGAAUUGGUUAUUAACUCUGCUAACUUGAAUUCUGCAUCGGGUCCGGAUGGUUUCUCUAUCCCGUUCUUCGGGCGAUUUUGGCCAGCCUUGUGUUCUUUGGUUUGUGCUGUUAUUCAAGGUUUUUGUUUGGGGACUGUUAACAUAUCUAGACUUAAUUAUGUCAUCUUAUCUCUCAUCCCUAAAGUCAAGGGUGCUGAUACGAUCUCCCAGUUUCGCACGAUUGCUCUGAUCAAUAACUUUGCCAAGUUCCCUGCUAAGAGGUUUGUGACGAGACAGUCUCGUGUAGCUCAUCGGACUAUUAUCCCUACCCAAUCUGCUUUCAUUAAGGGUAGAUACAUUUUGGAUGGUAUUCUUUGUUUACAUGAGAUCAUGCACGAUCUUAGGAUGAGAGGGUCUCGUGCUCUUAUUCUUAAGCUCGAUUUUGAGAAGGCUUAUCACUCGGUUAGCUGGACUUUUCUUCAACAAAUUCUUCUUGCCAAGGGGUUUGAGGCUGCCUAUGUCCAUAGGCUGAUGCGGCUUGUCUCUAGUGGGCACAUUGUUGUUGCAGUGAAUGGCUCCAUUAGUAAUUAA
Molecule: ribosomal RNA, 582 nt
Filed under: Triticum aestivum (bread wheat)
Lineage: Eukaryota; Viridiplantae; Streptophyta; Magnoliopsida; Poales; Poaceae
Description: partial small subunit ribosomal RNA
Source: RNAcentral